GAUGAACGCUGGCGGCGUGCUUAACACAUGCAAGUCGAACGAUGAAGCCCAGCUUGCGGGGUGGUGUAGUUGCGAACGGGCGAGUAACACGUGAGUAACCUGCCCUUGUCUCUGGGAUAAGCCUGUUAAACUGGGUCUAGUACUUGAUAGGACUUCUCAUCACCUGGAUGGGUGUGGAGAGAUUGACUGGUCUUGGAUGGACUCGCGGCCUAUCAGCUUGUUGGUGAGGUAAUGGCACACCAAGGCCACGACGGGUAGCCGGCCUGAGAGGGUGACCGGCGACACUGGGACUGAGAGACGGCGCAGACUCCUACGGGAGGCAGCAGUGGGGAAUCUUGCACAAUGGGCGCAAGCCUGAUGCAGCGACGCCGCGUGAGGGAUGACGGCCUUCGGGUUGUAAACCUCUUUCAGUAGGGAAGAAGCGAGAGUGACGGUACCUGCAGAAGAAGCGACGGCUAACUACGUG
Molecule: ribosomal RNA, 466 nt
Filed under: uncultured bacterium
Lineage: Bacteria
Description: partial 16S ribosomal RNA
Rfam family: Bacterial small subunit ribosomal RNA
Source: RNAcentral